UACGUAGGGGGCAAGCGUUGUCCGGAUUUAUUGGGCGUAAAGAGCGUGUAGGCGGCUUUGCAAGUCCGUUGUGAAAACUCGAGGCUCAACCUCGAGACGCCGGUGGAAACUGCAAAGCUAGAGUCCGGAAGAGGAGAGUGGAAUUCCUGGUGUAGCGGUGAAAUGCGCAGAUAUCAGGAGGAACACCCGUGGCGAAAGCGGCUCUCUGGGACGGUACUGACGCUGAGACGCGAAAGCGUGGGGAGCAAGCAGG
RNAcentral lists this ribosomal RNA (253 nucleotides) under uncultured bacterium. RNAcentral's name for it is "partial 16S ribosomal RNA". It matches the Rfam family "Bacterial small subunit ribosomal RNA", at positions 524 to 776 of the family's 1533-position model. The record is from RNAcentral.